RNAcentral lists this long non-coding RNA (1432 nucleotides) under Nicotiana benthamiana. RNAcentral describes it as "long non-coding RNA (NBEN_LNC005355)". Lineage: Eukaryota; Viridiplantae; Streptophyta; Magnoliopsida; Solanales; Solanaceae. The record is from RNAcentral.
CAUUACUGUCACCAGCUGCUAAAAAUGCAGGAGUUAAUCCUGCUAUUGCUGUCACUAUCCCCAAGAGGUGCAACAUCAAGAAUAGACCUGUUGGGAAGAGAUGUGGACGAUAUGUUGUUCCAUGAGUUUAGAAUUCUCAACUUGUAUGGAGGAAUAAAGACGAUUUCCAGCUACUUGACUAUUAUGUUUCACAAAUAUAAGUUAAGUUUACUGAUGAAUAAAAGCUAUUUUACUAGACAAACGAAUUUAAUUUAUAUCAUUUAAUAAUAGGUUUGCUAUACAUGAUAAAAUAAAAACAUGGAGCUUUACGUAAUAUUAAACACUUUAGAAUAUGCGUGAAUGUUUACAACUAGUAAUCUCAGGAAAAAUGUAAGUGACUUCCUGAAAUCAAUGGCGUAGGCAGGAUUUUUGGUUAGUCAUGAUGUCAAAGUUUGAAGAAAUGAAAUGAAAAUGACAAGUGGUGUAAUUUUAAUAUUUAUACCCAAUAUUUUUAUUUGGUAUACUAUGUAUAAAUAUAUUUACCAGAAAUUUCAACAAUCCUGAAAUUGUAAUUUUAUCUAAUACAAGAAAAGAUACAAUUAAAACACGAAGUCUAAUAUAAUUCCAUAUGGGAAUGCUGUCUAUUUUGUUCUUUGACGUUCGUACUUUGCAUUUAAUUUGACACUUUGUCUACAUGAAUCUAUGGGCUCAAAUUGAGUCUAAAUGAAUCUUUGGGCCUUUUUGAAUGUAUAGAGAAGGGAAAGGUAUAUGGGCUUUAAAACAAAAAUACUAGGCCCAUUUGUUCAAAAGCCCACUUCAAAUGGCUACCCAUUUAGGCUUUCUCUUAUUUUUCUGCAAGGCAUAUCAGGGUCCUAAUCAAAUUAUUUUCUUGUAACCUUUGCAGGAUAUGUUGUUCCAUGAGUUUAGAAUUCUCAACUUAUAUGGAGGAAUAAAGACGAUUUCCAGCUACUUGACUAUUAUGUUUCACAAAUAUAAGUAUUUCCAGUCUACUAUUAAAUAAAAGUGUUGCUAGUUUGGUGUUAAAAAAAAAAGAAUGUUGUUCCAUGAGUUUAGAAUUCUCAACUUGUAUGGAGGAAUAAAGACGAUUUCCAGCUACUUGACUAUUAUGUUUCACAAAUAUAAGUAUUUCCAGUCUACUAUUAAAUAAAAGUGUUGCUAGUUUGGUGUUCCUUAAUGUAAUCAUCUAUACUUCUAUAGUUCCAUUAACCAUAUUUGGAUGACUAAAUAUGGCAUAAAAAUCAGGGCAUCCUAAUAUUUGCACCUAAAAAAUAGUGUCAUUUUGCACUUUCAUUUUUACCUUAUUUGGUAUUUUCAUGGUACAUUUUUUUACCCCACUCUACUUGCUUCUAGCAUACCGAUAUUGUAAGAUUUCGAUGGCAACUAAGGAAUUUUAUCUGGAAUAAUUUGAUAAGAAAUAGAUGUUUUAUCUCAA